RNAcentral lists this ribosomal RNA (460 nucleotides) under uncultured bacterium. RNAcentral's name for it is "partial 16S ribosomal RNA". It matches the Rfam family "Bacterial small subunit ribosomal RNA", at positions 338 to 795 of the family's 1533-position model. The record is from RNAcentral.
CCUACGGGUGGCAGCAGUGAGGAAUAUUGGUCAAUGGACGAGAGUCUGAACCAGCCAAGUAGCGUGAAGGAUGACUGCCCUAUGGGUUGUAAACUUCUUUUAUAAAGGAAUAAAACGAGGCACGUGUGCCUUUUUGCAUGUACUUUAUGAAUAAGGAUCGGCUAACUCCGUGCCAGCAGCCGCGGUAAUACGGAGGAUCCGAGCGUUAUCCGGAUUUAUUGGGUUUAAAGGGAGCGUAGAUGGGUUGUUAAGUCAGUUGUGAAAGUUUGCGGCUCAACCGUAAAAUUGCAAUUGAUACUGGCAGUCGUGAGUACAGUUGAGGUAGGCGGAAUUCGUGGUGUAGCGGUGAAAUGCUUAGAUAUCACGAAGAACCCCGAUUUCGAAGGCAGCUUACUAAACUGUGACUGACAUUGAUGCUCGAAAGUGUGGGUAUCAAACAGGAUUAGAUACCCGGGUAGUC